UACGGCUCAGUAACACGUCGAUAAUCUGCCCUUAAGUCUGGGAUAACCUUGGGAAACUGAGGCUAAGACCGGAUAAUAAAACAAAUCUGGAAGGAUUGUUUUCUUAAAGGUAACGCUUAAGGAUGAGUCGGCGGCGGAUUAGGCUGUUGGCGAGGUAAAGGCUCACCAAACCGAAGAUCCGUAGGGGCUCUGAGAGGAGUAGCCCCGAGAAGGGCACUGAGACACUGGCCCUAGCCCUACGGGGUGCAGCAGGCGCGAAAACUUUGCAAUGCACGAAAGUGUGACAAGGGAACCCAGAGUGCUUAUACAACGUAUAGGCUUUUGCCAAGAGCAAAUAUCUUGGAGAAUAAGUGGUGGGAAAGACUGGUGCCAGCAGCCGCGGUAAU
This 386-nucleotide ribosomal RNA is filed under the name uncultured euryarchaeote. RNAcentral describes it as "bacterial SSU rRNA". It matches the Rfam family "Archaeal small subunit ribosomal RNA", at positions 84 to 474 of the family's 1478-position model. Lineage: Archaea; Methanobacteriati; Methanobacteriota. The record is from RNAcentral.